AAGCAAUCCUCUGUAGCAGAUGAUCAAAACUGUCUGACACAAUUUUAGCUUGCUAUAGCAACAAAGUCUAACCUAUUUUGGUGUUUUCUCCUCUAUGAGACAAGCCAAAAUAUAGACUUACUGU
Pipistrellus kuhlii (Kuhl's pipistrelle) is the source of this 124-nucleotide small nucleolar RNA. RefSeq annotates it as small nucleolar RNA SNORA28. Lineage: Eukaryota; Metazoa; Chordata; Mammalia; Chiroptera; Vespertilionidae. The transcript has a single exon. The record is from RefSeq and is a predicted model, not a curated record.